GCUUAGAGUUUGAUCCUGGCUCAGAUUGAACGCUGGCGGCACGCUUAACACAUGCAAGUCGAACGGCAGCGCGUAUUUACUUCGGUAGAUAUGGCGGCGAGUGGCGGACGGGUGAGUAAUGCGUAGGAAUCUGCCUUAUAGUGGGGGAUAACCCGGGGAAACUCGGGCUAAUACCGCGUAAAAUCUACGGAUUAAAGCAUGGGACCUUCGGGCCAUGCGCUAUAAGAUGAGCCUACGUCGGAUUAGCUAGUUGGUGGGGUAAAGGCCUACCAAGGCGAUGAUCCGUAGCUGGUCUGAGAGGACGAACAGCCACACUGGGACUGAGACACGGCCCAGACUCCUACGGGAGGCAGCAGUGGGGAAUAUUGGACAAUGGGGGGAACCCUGAUCCAGCGAUGCCGCGUGUGUGAAGAAGGCCUGCGGGUUGUAAAGCACUUUCAGUGGUGAGGAAACGGCUUGUGUUAAUAGCACAAGCACUUGACGUUAACCACAGAAGAAGCACCGGCUAACUCUGUGCCAGCAGCCGCGGUAAGACAGAGGGUGCGAGCGUUAAUCGGAAUUACUGGGCGUAAAGGGCACGUAGGCGGUUCUGUAAGUCAGAUGUGAAAUCCCUGGGCUUAACCUAGGCAUUGCAUAUGAAACUGCGGAACUAGAGUAUGGUAGAGGGAAGUGGAAUUUCCGGUGUAGCAGUGAAAUGCACAGAUAUCGGAAGGAACAUCAGUGGCGAAGGCGACUUUCUGGACCAUACUGACGCUGAGGUGCGAAAGCGUGGGGAGCGAACAGGAUUAGAUACCCUGGUAGUCCACGCCGUAAACGAUGAGAACUAGCCGUUGGGCACGU
This 840-nucleotide ribosomal RNA is filed under the name uncultured bacterium. Its description in RNAcentral is "bacterial SSU rRNA". It matches the Rfam family "Bacterial small subunit ribosomal RNA", at positions 1 to 832 of the family's 1533-position model. The record is from RNAcentral.